GUGGUUCGCUGAGUCAACCAAUAGACUUGCACCCCUCCAUCUUUUCAAUGCUACUGGAUGUGUCCUUCUUUCAAAGAAGGGGAAGAUAUACAUGAUUGGCUUACGAAACAUGGACAACUGGAUGGUGAUUGGACAUGUUUGACAGACUUAUGUGGAGGAUAGUCAUACAUGGUGGCAUUGAUGGGUUGCAGCCGCCGUGUUUCUCCAUACUUCCAGCAACAAUCGCAGCAGUACUGUAUUGGAUUGCUUCAUGAAUGCUGUCUCCAGAUAUGGCGUUCCCUCCAGAGUUAGGACGGACCAUGGAGGAGAAAACAACACUGUCUGCUUGUUGAAUACUACUUCUACAAACGAGGCUACACUUGUGGCAGCACCUAUUCCUGUGGCACCCCAUCUUCUGCACUUCUUGUGGCCCCCCUCCACCUAUACCACUUUCUGUGGCCCCUCCACCAUUCCCCGAGGCUUAUCGUCCACCUUCACCACACUCUUCUGUUGGUGUUGGUGAUGACAAUGAGUAAGUCAUCCCUGUAAAUAAUUAAAUGUCUUGUUAUUACAGAUGAAUUGUGGGAAGUAUCUGAGCUUUGUUAUUCUGAAUGUCUCUUUUAGUGUUGACCUCCAAACACUGCUGAAGUUAAUGAGAUGCCAACCAAAUGAAUGUGAUGAUGGACAAUGUUUAUGAUUGUGCAAUGAGAGGCUUUAAGAGAGCCCGCUUUAAUCCGGAGGCAAAAAUAUACAUGGUUUUUAGGGAUGCUGACGGAAAAGGGGCAGCUGAUGAGGGUGGUCUCUCAAGAGAAUUUCUCUGGCUGCUAAUGAGUGCCAUCCAUUCCUCUGCAAUAUUUGAGGGACCUGAUUGACAAAAAUGUCUUUCUUGCAACUCUCAAGGUGAGUUACACUUUUAAAAGCAAAAAAAAGACACGUUUGUUUAUGGCAAUAUAUAUGACUUUAGUAAGACAUUUGAUUUUUGAAUGUAAUGUGUCCUUUAUUUACUGAUUGCCUUCUGUGUGACAGCAACAUGGGGGUGUAGAGCCACAUUUUUUCGGAGAGGCUAUACAGGCAAGUGUGUGACCUACAACCUCCUGUGCCAGA
Molecule: long non-coding RNA, 1083 nt
Filed under: Oncorhynchus kisutch (coho salmon)
Lineage: Eukaryota; Metazoa; Chordata; Actinopteri; Salmoniformes; Salmonidae
Description: lncRNA (ENSOKIG00005009257.1)
Source: RNAcentral